AGAACUGGUCAGAAUCUGCUGAAUAUACCACCUCUGGUUGAUUCAGCAGAUCUGGCUGGCUGGGUGCAUGUCCCCUUCCUCCAUCACUGCUCCAUGUGCGUCCCUCCCGAAACUGCAUGCUCAGUGGAACACGACAGCCACCCCAGAUAGAAGGGGUAUACCAAUCUUCGGUCAAGGGCAGGGGUGGGAUGCUACCGGUUCAGCCUGGUUCUAUAGAACUGGUAGCUCUGAAGAGCAGCAGACACUGAACCGGUUCAGUGCAACAAACUUU
Molecule: small RNA, 271 nt
Filed under: Notechis scutatus (mainland tiger snake)
Lineage: Eukaryota; Metazoa; Chordata; Lepidosauria; Squamata; Elapidae
Description: 7SK RNA (ENSNSUG00000020134.1)
Rfam family: 7SK RNA (bases 2-181)
About the family: 7SK was discovered as an abundant small nuclear RNA in the mid-70s but a possible function has only recently been suggested.
Source: RNAcentral